GGCGGCGUGCUUAACACAUGCAAGUCGAGCGAAGCAGUUAAGAAGAUUCUUCGGAUGAUUCUUAACUGACUGAGCGGCGGACGGGUGAGUAACGCGUGGGUGACCUGCCCCAUACCGGGGGAUAACAGCUGGAAACGGCUGCUAAUACCGCAUAAGCGCACAGAGCUGCAUGGCUCGGUGUGAAAAACUCCGGUGGUAUGGGAUGGGCCCGCGUCUGAUUAGGCAGUUGGCGGGGUAACGGCCCACCAAACCGACGAUCAGUAGCCGGCCUGAGAGGGCGACCGGCCACAUUGGGACUGAGACACGGCCCAAACUCCUACGGGAGGCAGCAGUGGGGAAUAUUGCACAAUGGGGGAAACCCUGAUGCAGCGACGCCGCGUGAGCGAAGAAGUAUUUCGGUAUGUAAAGCUCUAUCAGCAGGGAAGAUAAUGACGGUACCUGACUAAGAAGCCCCGGCUAACUACGUGCCAGCAGCCGCGGUAAUACGUAGGGGGCAAGCGUUAUCCGGAUUUACUGGGUGUAAAGGGAGCGUAGACGGCAAGGCAAGUCUGAUGUGAAAACCCAGGGCUUAACCCUGGGACUGCAUUGGAAACUGUCUGGCUCGAGUGCCGGAGAGGUAAGCGGAAUUCCUAGUGUAGCGGUGAAAUGCGUAGAUAUUAGGAAGAACACCAGUGGCGAAGGCGGCUUACUGGACGGUAACUGACGUUGAGGCUCGAAAGCGUGGGGAGCAAACAGG
Molecule: ribosomal RNA, 736 nt
Filed under: uncultured Lachnospiraceae bacterium
Lineage: Bacteria; Bacillati; Bacillota; Clostridia; Lachnospirales; Lachnospiraceae
Description: bacterial SSU rRNA
Rfam family: Bacterial small subunit ribosomal RNA
Source: RNAcentral